GGGGAAUAUUGCACAAUGGGCGGAAGCCUGAUGCAGCAACGCCGCGUGCGGGAUGACGGCCUUCGGGUUGUAAACCGCUUUCGCCUGUGACGAAGCGUGAGUGACGGUAAUGGGUAAAGAAGCACCGGCUAACUACGUGCCAGCAGCCGCGGUGAUACGUAGGGUGCGAGCGUUGUCCGGAUUUAUUGGGCGUAAAGGGCUCGUAGGUGGUUGAUCGCGUCGGAAGUGUAAUCUUGGGGCUUAACCCUGAGCGUGCUUUCGAUACGGGUUGACUUGAGGAAGGUAGGGGAGAAUGGAAUUCCUGGUGGAGCGGUGGAAUGCGCAGAUAUCAGGAGGAACACCAGUGGCGAAGGCGGUUCUCUGGGCCUUUCCUGACGCUGAGGAGCGAAAGCGUGGGGAGCGAACAGGCUUAGAUACCCUGGUAGUCCACGCUGUAAACGGUGGGUACUAGGUGUGGGGUCCAUUCCGCGGGUUCCGUGCCGUAGCUAACGCUUUAAGUACCCCGCCUGGGGAGUACGGCCGCAAGGCUA
This 530-nucleotide ribosomal RNA is filed under the name uncultured bacterium. Its description in RNAcentral is "bacterial SSU rRNA". It matches the Rfam family "Bacterial small subunit ribosomal RNA", at positions 356 to 896 of the family's 1533-position model. The record is from RNAcentral.